UACGUAGGUGGCGAGCGUUGUCCGGAUUUACUGGGCGUAAAGAGCGCGCAGGCGGUCGUGCAAGUCGCGUGUGAAAGCCCCCGGCUCAACUGGGGAGGGUCACGCGAUACUGCUCGACUCGAAGGCAGGAGAGGGAAGUGGAAUUCCCGGUGUAGUGGUGAAAUGCGUAGAUAUCAGGAGGAACACCGAUGGCGAAGGCAGGUCUCUGGGCUGACACUGACGCUCAGACACGACGGCAUGGGGAGCGAACGGG
RNAcentral lists this ribosomal RNA (253 nucleotides) under uncultured bacterium. RNAcentral describes it as "partial 16S ribosomal RNA". It matches the Rfam family "Bacterial small subunit ribosomal RNA", at positions 524 to 776 of the family's 1533-position model. The record is from RNAcentral.